UUACCCGUAUUUUUUACCUUUGUAGUAGAUCCGCCGGGUUUUGGGUAGGUUCACCAUUUACAACGCUUAGCGGAAGAGCGUCGUGUAAGG
Octopus sinensis (East Asian common octopus) is the source of this 90-nucleotide long non-coding RNA. RefSeq lists it as uncharacterized. The record is from RefSeq and is a predicted model, not a curated record. Lineage: Eukaryota; Metazoa; Mollusca; Cephalopoda; Octopoda; Octopodidae. The transcript is spliced from 3 exons.